GGGAAAAGGGAUGUUUCCCCACCUUUUAAUCUAACUAUCUAUCUGUCUGUCUAUCUAUCAUCAUAGAUAGUCAUUUUGCCUCCUGGACAGUUGGCUGACGAAGUGUCUGAUAAACCAGCUUCAGAUACAUGCUACAAAAGGCUACUGAGCUGGCCUGAUGAUGAUCCUUCUGAGAUAUAUUUAUAGCAGAUGAUUUGUGGAUGAUAACUACGCCAAGCAAGACACUGUCUCCAGUAACCCCAGGCUCGUCUGACUUCCUCAGGGGAUUAUAAUAAAGAAUCACAAAAAGAACCCUAUAUGGACAGUCUGGUCUCUGGACACUAACAACAGCACAAUCCAAAGGCAAAGAAAGGAGGAACCACCUUGUUUCAUGUCUGCAAGCUGCUCCAUAUGAAAGCAUUGCUGACAUGUUGACCCAACAGCAAAAAGAGAGCAGCAGUUUACACACCCUCAGCUCUCUGUCCUUUCCUUUCUAUUGAUGUUGGUCCACUUUUAUGACUGAAUACAUAUUAAAAUCACCAUUUCAAAUUAUAAAAAAAAAAAAAAAAAAA
Molecule: long non-coding RNA, 551 nt
Filed under: Homo sapiens (human)
Lineage: Eukaryota; Metazoa; Chordata; Mammalia; Primates; Hominidae
Description: ADGRB3 divergent transcript (ADGRB3-DT)
Source: RNAcentral